RNAcentral lists this small RNA (125 nucleotides) under Marmota monax (woodchuck). The record is from RNAcentral. Lineage: Eukaryota; Metazoa; Chordata; Mammalia; Rodentia; Sciuridae.
GCUGGGCAUGGUGGUGCAUGCCUGUAAUCCCAGCAGCUUGGGAGGCUGAGGCAGGAGGAUUGAGAGUUCACAGCCAGCCUCAGCAAAAGUAAGGUACUAAGCAACUCAGUGAGACCCUGUCUCUA